GGAGGUGAAGGGCUCCCACCAAGCAGGCCUGGACCCAGAUGUAGCGCAUGCAGAUACACAGGAGAGCUGCAGUGCACAUAGGGAAGCGCUCCUGAUGAGGUAACCUCCUGUGAGUGGCUUUCAAUGCAACGGCAUAAAGGAGGCUUGCCAAUCUGCCUUGAUGAUGAACAGUGCUCCUCCAGCAGCAGGAAAACUUGAUCUAAGGUCCUAAAGGCUAUCAAGUCCACUCUUCCUCACUGGAAGUCCAUCUCUGCUUUAAAGACUCGCUGGCUCCAGAAAUUCUCCAUCGUGCUGAAGAAUUUGAUCCAGGGGAUUGUGCUGUCUGGAUAAAUGUUCACUGAGCUCUAUAAGGGGGGAAUGGAUUGAGGUCACGGCACUAAAGCAUCUCCCUCAGUUCAAAGGUGGGCAUGAGCGUGAGUCCCGAAGACAGAUUCAUCUUGGUCAGGAGAAAACCUCUUGAAAGGAGGGCAUGUAAUCGCAAUGUGGAGCGUAACGGACCAUAUCGUUAUUAAAUGGUAUUGUUAAAGGAAAUAGGAGAGAGGUCAAAUUUGAUGUAAGCCGCCCUAUUGUGACAUGUGAGACGAACCCU
Perca fluviatilis (European perch) is the source of this 589-nucleotide long non-coding RNA. RefSeq lists it as uncharacterized. The record is from RefSeq and is a predicted model, not a curated record. The transcript has 3 exons. NCBI's taxonomy places the organism in Eukaryota, Metazoa, Chordata, Actinopteri, Perciformes, Percidae.